Molecule: ribosomal RNA, 435 nt
Filed under: uncultured bacterium
Lineage: Bacteria
Description: partial 16S ribosomal RNA
Rfam family: Bacterial small subunit ribosomal RNA
Source: RNAcentral
GAUGAACGCUGGCGGUAUGCUUAACACAUGCAAGUCGAACGGACUCUUCGGAGUUAGUGGCGGACGGGUGAGUAACGCGUGAGAAUCUGGCUUUGGGUUCGGGACAACCACUGGAAACGGUGGCUAAUACCGGAUGUGCCGAGAGGUAAAAGAGAAAUUGCCUGAAGAUGAGCUCGCGUCUGAUUAGCUAGUUGGUGAGGUAAAGGCUCACCAAGGCAGCGAUCAGUAGCUGGUCUGAGAGGAUGACCAGCCACACUGGGACUGAGACACGGCCCAGACUCCUACGGGAGGCAGCAGUGGGGAAUUUUCCGCAAUGGGCGAAAGCCUGACGGAGCAAUACCGCGUGAGGGAAGAAGGCUCUUGGGUUGUAAAACUCUUUUCUUAGGGAAGAACAAAAUGACGGUACCUAAGGAAUCAGCAUCGGCUAACUCCGUG